GGGCAACAAUUGGGCCUUUAUUAUCAAUUAUAAAGGCAAGAAAAAAUAUUGAAUGAAUACAAUGUGUUCUUCAUGCCAAUAGUCUUCUUCCUUAGAGAUAAUGUAUGCCAUUUUAGCAUCCAUUUUGGGUGACGCCACAUCGGUGUUCCUGGCUUUCUGCUUCUUCUUUUGCGACAUAUCAGUGCUCCACUGCUCUUGUUUUCUACUUCUUCUUCAGUUUGUUGCAAGUGGGUUUUGAAAGUUGAGAUUUUGAUUUUUAUUAUGGUCUAGGUUCUGCCCUUCGUGCGUCCAUGGCUCUAUGCGACUGCAAGUCCUUCCAUUUAGGUUUGCGAUUCCAAGGGAAACCAUGGUGAUUGGUGUAUGUGAAAUUGUGAAAUUGCAAAAUUGUGAUGGUGAUCGAUUUUCAUUUUCAUAAUAAUCCGGUAAAUUUCUUGUUUCUGAAACUGUGAAUUUGAGAAUAAAUCUGCCGAUUUGAAAUUCUUGUUCUUCCUCUUUAUGAUUACAGUAUUUGUUUGUGUGAAUUUGUGCAUUAAUAUUGCGAUGGUGAUUGGUGAAUGUGAAAUUGCGAUGGUGACCAAUUAUUUUGCUGUGAGAUUGAGAUUGAAUGGUGGAGAUUUAUUUUCGAUUUCUGCUUUAAUGUGUUAAAUUUUUUCAUUAAAUUUGUUAUUAUUCUUUAUUUUAUUGUGGGAUUGAGAAAGAAUGGUGGCUGGAAGCUUGGAUAUUGCGACAGUGGAUUGGGAAGCCGAGAAUGGAGCAGAGUAAGAUGGAAUGUAAGCGAUCAGUAGUUAGAUGAGUCCACUCGUCUGUGAAGAUGGGCAAAAGGAUCUCUCAACAUGUGUUUGAGAAGGGCAAAAUUAGAAAAAUAAAAUAUUCAUGUUUUGAAUUGGAACUGUUUCCCUGAACAGUAAAUCGGAUUCUCCUUUAAUGUAUAGUAAUAUAUAAUAUUAAUGUUUCGUCCUCAAAUUAUAUUCUUUCUAGUUUCUAAAUAUUAUUUUCACAAACAUAGGCCAAUCACUGGCGUUU
RNAcentral lists this unclassified non-coding RNA (1023 nucleotides) under Hevea brasiliensis (rubber tree). Lineage: Eukaryota; Viridiplantae; Streptophyta; Magnoliopsida; Malpighiales; Euphorbiaceae. The record is from RNAcentral.